AGGCUGGCAAAGUCUCCGGAGGUGGGAGGGCAGUUAGCAUUUUACAGUUGUUAUCACUCUGGUGCAAUGACAUCCUUGCCCACCCAAGCUGCUGAGCUGAAGAGGCCAGGCUGAUGGAAACACAGCGUCUCAGAUGGGUGAGCAGGAAUAGCAUGACCCUGAGGUACUGUACUAGGGUAUUUUAUCACAGCAAUUGGAAUGGAACUAGAACAGGCAACAUCUCUAGAGCAAUACCUCCUCGCCCUGAUCAAUAAGGACUUCUCCCAGAGUGCCUGAUACACUGCUCCAAAAGGGGAGACGGGCCUGAUGAACUCCACCCCUGGCUUUGUACUAGCUCAUGCUAGCUGUUCCUUUUCCUGCCAGUAAUCUAGCCUUCCUAACAGCAGCUCUGGGUUAUUCUUUGGAGAACUACCUUCUCCAUUACUUUCCUAGAUCCCUCUUGUUUGGGUAGAAUUGACCAUACUACCUCCAGUUCAGAAGGCAGAUCAUAAGAUCAAAGCAUGACUUAAAAAUGCCUUUCAUUUUUUUCUGCCACCAGAGGUUUAUGGAUGAACAUGUAGCCCAAACUAGACUUUGAAGAUUAGCCUUGGGAAUUACACUGCACUGACUGGAAAAAAAAAAAAAAAAAAAAAAAAAAAAAACCUUCUCUCG
RNAcentral lists this long non-coding RNA (651 nucleotides) under Mus caroli (Ryukyu mouse). RNAcentral describes it as "lncRNA (MGP_CAROLIEiJ_G0002584.1)". The record is from RNAcentral. Lineage: Eukaryota; Metazoa; Chordata; Mammalia; Rodentia; Muridae.